CAGUAGCCGCGGUAAUACGUAGGGGGCUAGCGUUGUCCGGAAUCAUUGGGCGUAAAGCGCGUGUAGGCGGCUUGACAAGUCUGCUGUGAAAGUCCAGGGCUCAACCCUGGAAUGCCGGUGGAAACUGUCAAGCUAGAGUCCGGAAGGGGAGUGUGGAAUUCCUGGUGUAGCGGUGAAAUGCGCAGAUAUCAGGAGGAACACCAAUGGCGAAGGCAGCACUCUGGGACGUGACUGACGCUGAGACGCGAAAGCGUGGGGAGCAAACAGGAUUAGAUACCCCCGUAGUCCCUGUCUCUAUACA
RNAcentral lists this ribosomal RNA (301 nucleotides) under uncultured bacterium. RNAcentral describes it as "partial 16S ribosomal RNA". It matches the Rfam family "Bacterial small subunit ribosomal RNA", at positions 509 to 808 of the family's 1533-position model. The record is from RNAcentral.